AAGCCCAUACCACAUAGUCAGCUAUAAAAGGCCCUGAUAAGACAAUGUAAAACAAUUCAAACGAGAAAACUAACGGCCUUAUUUAUGUAAAAAAAUGAACGAAAAACAAAUAUGUAACACAUAAACAAACGACAACCACUGAAUUACAGGCUACUGACUUGGGACAGGCACAUACAUAAAUAAUGUGGCGGGGUUAAACAUGUUAGCGAGUUCCCAACCCUCCCCCUAACCUGGGACAUUGGUAUAACAUGUAUACUGUAUGAUAACCAGAAUAAGGAGAUGUGGUAUGAAUUUCAAUAAGACAACCAUCAACCGUAAACCAAGACAGGGAUCUCCAUGGAUGAAAAUUGAACGAUGGAGGAACUUCAAGUGAAGUGAUGUAAUUGUUAGUAACUG
This 396-nucleotide long non-coding RNA is filed under the name Mytilus galloprovincialis (Mediterranean mussel). Lineage: Eukaryota; Metazoa; Mollusca; Bivalvia; Mytilida; Mytilidae. The record is from RNAcentral.